UAGGAAGUGGUGUAGUGGAAGCACCAAGAGUUUUGAUCUCUUAAGGUGGGGUUCGAGUCCCCUCUUUCUAA
This 71-nucleotide transfer RNA is filed under the name Schismatogobius ampluvinculus. RNAcentral's name for it is "tRNA-Gln". It matches the Rfam family "tRNA". Rfam says of the family: Transfer RNA (tRNA) molecules are approximately 80 nucleotides in length. Their secondary structure includes four short double-helical elements and three loops (D, anti-codon, and T loops). Lineage: Eukaryota; Metazoa; Chordata; Actinopteri; Gobiiformes; Gobiidae. The record is from RNAcentral.